UGGGGUAUAUUGGACAAUGGGGGCAACCCUGAUCCAGCAAUGCCGCGUGAGUGAUGAAGGCCUUCGGGUUGUAAAGCUCUUUUGUUAGGGACGAUGAUGACGGUACCUAACGAAUAAGCUCCGGCUAACUUCGUGCCAGCAGCCGCGGUAAUACGAAGGGAGCUAGCGUUGUUCGGAAUUACUGGGCGUAAAGGGCGCGUAGGCGGCUUGAUAAGUUUGAUGUGAAAGCCCAGGGCUUAACCUAGGAAUAGCAUUGAAUACUGUCAGGCUAGAGGCCGAGAGAGGGAAAUGGAAUUGCGAGUGUAGAGGUGAAAUUCGUAGAUAUUCGCAAGAACACCAGUGGCGAAGGCGAUUUCCUGGCUCGGUACCGACGCUAAGGCGCGAAAGCGUGGGGAGCAAACAGG
This 404-nucleotide ribosomal RNA is filed under the name uncultured bacterium. RNAcentral's name for it is "bacterial SSU rRNA". It matches the Rfam family "Bacterial small subunit ribosomal RNA", at positions 355 to 776 of the family's 1533-position model. The record is from RNAcentral.